Long non-coding RNA from Uranotaenia lowii, 398 nucleotides. RefSeq lists it as uncharacterized. The transcript is spliced from 3 exons. The record is from RefSeq and is a predicted model, not a curated record. Lineage: Eukaryota; Metazoa; Arthropoda; Insecta; Diptera; Culicidae.
ACUUUUUUUGUCAGUUGUCAGAGCUAGCGUUUAAACUAGCAGAAAAAAGUAGAGAUUUUCGGAUCAGAAAGUUUAGAUCGUAUGCGACAUGUAUCACGACGUGAAGAGAUUAUUAAGAUUAUUUGUUUUCUCGCCGAAGAUAUUUUUCUUGCCCGACGAGUGCAUCCCCGGUCAAGAUUCUUGAACGGAUUCUCUUGAAACAUCCUGACUGGGUGCCUGUGAACCACACGGGAGCUAUUUGCGAGGAACGGAACAUAAAAAAUAUAAUAAUGAGAACGACCUGGAGGAUCGUUUAGGAUUCAUAGAGGAAUACCUAUCGAGCAAGUUUCGGUUCUCGGCCUAAGAAUCCUACUUGGAGGAGAAACCGCCCUUACAGCAGCAGGAUCAAUCGGCAUGGC